AGGACUGUCGAGGCGCGCUCCGCACCUGGCCUGAAAGCGGGAGAUUUGGCAACCAGUGCGCGUGGGUGCGCCGGCCCUUGCAGCUGGGGACUCUGGAGGCAGACCUUGCCCAAAGCCAGAGGCAGGAACUCCCCAGAUCCUCCCAGGGUAGCAUGGGAGGAUGCCGCCUCCUCCAGGAAGCUCUCUAGCGCUUUUCCGAGUCCUGGAGCCAGGCGGGACUUCUCUGUGGUCGCCUAGAAGGAGACCAACAAUUGUCAGCACAGCAAAACUGGGCAUUUCUUUUCUUACUGAGCUUUGCAGCUACCUACACAGUUGUGUGUGGCAUCUCCUCCUGGGUGCAAGGACAUGAGAUGACAUCAGGGUCUUGCUGUGUCAUCCAGGCUGGAGUGCAGUGAUAUGAGCAUGGCUCACUGCAGCCUCGACCUCCCAGCUUCAAGCAAUGCUCCCACCUUGGCCUCCCAAAGCGCUGGGAUUACAGGCAUGAGCCACCAUGCCUGGCCAUUGCCAUUGCACUUCAGCUGGUUCUCCUGAACCUUGAAUUAUCUUAGGAAAGAUUGUAUUUUCAGGAAUUAAGUCUAUUGGAGACACAGCAGGACUCCACAGCCAGCUAGAUUUGGAUAAAAUGUAGACUGCCUCAAGGCCAGUGUGUUGACUUCUGACCAGUCUCAUCUGAACCCACACCCUUUAACAUAUAUACAAAACACCUGAAGGGUUGGGCUGCCAGCUUUCUUUAGGAUGAUAGAGGGCAGGUUAAGUUUGUUUGACAUAACUAGAAGAGGUGGAGCCUCUUCCUAAUGGAGCAAGGUCCAUUUAUGGCAAACUGUGGUCCCCCACCACUAUCAGCUACUUCUGGAUAGCUUUUGCUUAAAGUUGAUGAGAUAUUGUUUCUUUCACUAGAAGAAAAUGAAUGAGUUGGUGAUCCCAAA
This 926-nucleotide long non-coding RNA is filed under the name Homo sapiens (human). RNAcentral describes it as "long intergenic non-protein coding RNA 904". The record is from RNAcentral. Lineage: Eukaryota; Metazoa; Chordata; Mammalia; Primates; Hominidae.